RNAcentral lists this unclassified non-coding RNA (326 nucleotides) under Hevea brasiliensis (rubber tree). Lineage: Eukaryota; Viridiplantae; Streptophyta; Magnoliopsida; Malpighiales; Euphorbiaceae. The record is from RNAcentral.
AAAUGGAACACCACUUUGGAAUUAAAAGGGGAUGGCCACAGUUCAGAAAAGCAAAUGGUCUUCAAGAAGGAGAUACUUACAAAUUUGAACUCACUAACAAUGGCACAAUACCUAUAAUUCAUAUGAGUAAAUAUUCUGGGAAUUAAGGAUGCCAAUUGCCAAGCAUCACAGAAGUCAUUGUAGAUGAUAUGAAGCAUUUGAUGAUGGGCAAAGAAAUUAGCAUGUGUUGUACUUUUGUUUUCAAAGUAUCCUUUUCAUGCAUGAUAGUAAUUAUAUUAUCGUAGCCUUUAGAUCCGUGAAUGAGAAAUGAAGAGAUGCUGUUCCAU